This 385-nucleotide ribosomal RNA is filed under the name uncultured bacterium. RNAcentral describes it as "bacterial SSU rRNA". It matches the Rfam family "Bacterial small subunit ribosomal RNA", at positions 101 to 507 of the family's 1533-position model. The record is from RNAcentral.
AACGGGUGAGUAAUGCUUCGGAAUCUGCCCAAUGGUGGGGAAUAACCAGCCGAAAGGUUGGCUAAUACCGCAUACGCCCUACGGGGGAAAGCAGGGGAUCGCAAUACCUUGCGCCGAUGGAUGAGCCGAAGUCGGAUUAGCUAGUUGGUAGGGUAACGGCCUACCAAGGCGACGAUCCGUAGCUGGUCUGAGAGGACGACCAGCCACACUGGGACUGAGACACGGCCCAAACUCCUACGGGAGGCAGCAGUGGGGAAUAUUGGACAAUGGGCGCAAGCCUGAUCCAGCCAUGCCGCGUGAGUGAUGAAGGCCCUAGGGUUGUAAAGCUCUUUCACCGAUGAAGAUAAUGACGGUAGUCGGAGAAGAAGCCCCGGCUAACUUCGUG